This is a long non-coding RNA of Cygnus olor (mute swan), 546 nucleotides long. RefSeq lists it as uncharacterized. NCBI's taxonomy places the organism in Eukaryota, Metazoa, Chordata, Aves, Anseriformes, Anatidae. The record is from RefSeq and is a predicted model, not a curated record. The transcript is spliced from 2 exons.
GGGAGGAGGCUUCUGCUUGGCUUGUCUGUGGCCGUGGGAGAGAGAAAUGAUGGCAUGUGGAGAGAAAAAGUCAAGGGACUGGAAAAGGCAGAAGCAGCCAGAUGAAAUGGAAGGUCCGGAGUGGGAAAUCCCUUGAUUUGCAGCUGGAACUGGUCUCAUCAUAGGAAGCCUGCCCCAGAUUCCUUUCUAAUCUGUCUCCGAGCAUAUGUUUCUGUUCACCAAAUAAUUCUACUUGCCACUGACACUGCUCACCACUGUCAAUAUCUGCUGUGUUCUGAGAUCCCCUCCUCAUCACUGGGCCCAUACAUACCUCUUUAAAUUUCCUUCCAGAGUCUGUGUGUCAAAUGCCCUUACUGGUCAGAAGGGUGAAGUUUCUUGCAAAGAUGAGCAUAGCUGUUCAAAAGAGAACUUCAGUUGCCUGGGAAGUUCCAGCCUUUGAUUUUUGUCAGGUCUCCUAUAAGGCAGAAGAGAAUGAGAAACUGUGUUCACCAAUGAUGCUGAUACUGAAAGGUUGUGCCCCUGGAGAUGAGAGAUUCUGUGUACAAA